CCUACGGGGCGCAGCAGUGGGGAAUAUUGGGCAAUGGGCGCAAGCCUGACCCAGCAACGCCGCGUGAAGGAAGAAGGCUUUCGGGUUGUAAACUUCUUUUGUCAGGGACGAAGCAAGUGACGGUACCUGACGAAUAAGCCACGGCUAACUACGUGCCAGCAGCCGCGGUAAUACGUAGGGGGCAAGCGUUAUCCGGAUUUACUGGGUGUAAAGGGCGUGUAGGCGGUACUGCAAGCCAGAUGUGAAAACCACGGGCGCAACCUGUGGCCGGCAUUUGAAACUGGAGUUCUUGAGUACUGGGGGGG
Molecule: ribosomal RNA, 305 nt
Filed under: uncultured bacterium
Lineage: Bacteria
Description: bacterial SSU rRNA
Rfam family: Bacterial small subunit ribosomal RNA
Source: RNAcentral